UACGAAGGGGGCAAGCGUUGUUCGGAAUUACUGGGCGUAAAGCGGGUGUAGGCGGAUUACUAAGUCGGGGGUGAAAGCCUAGGGCUCAACCCUGGAAUUGCCAUUGAUACUGGUGAUCUUGAGUGCAGGAGAGGGGGUUGGAAUGUCUAGUGUAGAGGUGAAAUGCGUAGAUAUCAGGCAGAACACCAAAGGCGAAGGCGGAUCCCUGUGUCGAUACUGACGCUGAGGCCCGAAAGCGUGGGGAGCAAACAGG
This 253-nucleotide ribosomal RNA is filed under the name uncultured bacterium. RNAcentral's name for it is "partial 16S ribosomal RNA". It matches the Rfam family "Bacterial small subunit ribosomal RNA", at positions 524 to 776 of the family's 1533-position model. The record is from RNAcentral.